This 2424-nucleotide ribosomal RNA is filed under the name freshwater metagenome. RNAcentral's name for it is "bacterial LSU rRNA". It matches the Rfam family "Bacterial large subunit ribosomal RNA", at positions 57 to 2597 of the family's 2925-position model. The record is from RNAcentral.
GGCCUGGACGAUCGCCCGCGACGCCCAACAGCAGCAACAGCAACCACCCAACUUUAGCAUCUUCCACGACUUUCAUCAAGGUCCGUAUAUAUUUACUUUUUGGGGGUUUUUCUUCUUUUUCUAUCACACAGAACAGGUCGCAAAUGAUUCCAUAAGUAGUGGCGAGCGAAAGUGGAAAAGCCUAAACCAGUCAAACUUGUUUGAUUGGGGUUGUGGGACUUCAAUGUGCUAGGUUUAGAUGACUGGCUAACCAUUUGGAAAAAUGGGCCUUAGAGUGUGAAAGCCGCGUAACCAGUCGUUGAAAUUGGCUAGAAGCAUCCCAAGUAACACAGUGCACGUGAAACUCUGUGCGAAUCCGUCCGGACCACCGGAUAAGGCUAAAUACUACUUGGCAACCGAUAGUGAACUAGUACCGCGAGGGAAAGGCGAAAAGAACCCCUGCUAGGGGAGUGAAAUAGAUCCUCAAACCAUCUGCUUACAAUGUGUAGGAGCGCUGCAAAGCGUGACUGCUUGCCUUUUGCAUAAUGAGUCUGCGAGUUAUCGUCAGUAGCCUGCCAAAAUAUAGCAUAUUAAGGCGAAGGGAAACCGAGUGCAAAAUGCGCGAUCGUUGCUGGCGAUAGACCCGAAGCGGAGGUGAUCUACUCUUGAGCAAGUUGAAGCUAUGGUAACACAUAGUGGAGGACUGAACUCGUGGAUGUUGAAAAAUCCUGAGAUGACUUAAGAGUAGGAGCGAAAGACUAAUCAAACCCCGUGAUAGCUGGUUCUCUCCGAAAUCGCUUGAGGGCGAGCGUUGAGUAAGUUCUCUGUAGAGGUAGAGCACUGGAUGGCUUAGGGACCCCACCAGGUUGCCAAAACCAAUCAAACUCCGAAUUCUACAGAUCUCUUUAACUCAGCAUUCAGGCUGCGAGGGAUAAGCUUCGUGGCCAAGAGGGCAACAGCCCAGAUCGUCGACUAAGGCGCCAAAAUUAUGCUCAGUGGAAAGGAUGUGACGUUGCUUAGACAGUGAGGAUGUUGGCUUAGAGGCAGCCAUCAUUUAAACAGUGCGUAAUAGCUGACUCAUCGAGCGAUGUCGCGCCGAAAAUGAUUGGCGAUAAAGCAUAAUGCCGAAAUCACGAAUUGCCAUGUGGUUCGCCACAUAGCAGUGGUAGGAGAGCGUAUUCUUUUUGGUAAAGCCAAACUUAAAGGGAUGGUGAAAAAAAGAAUAGUGAGAAUGCAGACACGAGUAGCGAUAAACCAGAUAAGAAUUCUGGUCGCCGUAAACCCAAGGUUUCCUAGGCUAGGUUCGUCCUCCUAGGGUUAGUCGGGAGCUAAGGUGAGGCCGUAAGGCGUAAUCGAUGCACAGCAGGUCAACAUUCCUGCACCACGGUUGUUUUAAGUAGGGCCGCAAAUACCAACAUAAAAACAUCGUUGAUUGAUGUAGCUUAGGCUUAGGCCAAAGCAUUUUAUAGAUGUGUUUGCCUAGAAAAUCCCUACCGGUAGCAGUCGUGCCCGUACCGUAAACCGACACAGGUAGGUGAGUGUAAAUGCACUCAGGCGCGCGAGAGAGACCUCUCUAAGGAACUCGGCACAUUAGCCCCGUAACUUCGGGAAAAGGGGUGCUCUACUUUGUAGAGCCACAGUAAAUUGCGUUUACCGACUGUUUAACAAAAACACAGCUCUCUGCUAAGUCGUAAAGACAAUGUAUAGGGAGUGACACGUGACCAAUGCGGAAAGAUCAAGGUAAGCUGUCAGCCGCAAGGCGAAGCGGUGAGCCCAAGUCCCCGUGAAUGUCGGCCGUAACUAUAACGGUCCUAAGGUAGCGAAAUUCCUUGUCGGGUAAGUUCCGACCUGCACGAAUCGUGUAACGAGUGAACGACUGUCUCGGAGAGGAUCUCGGCGAAACUGUAAUUGCGGUGAAGAUGCCGCAUGCCCGCAGUAGGACGGAAAGACCCUAUGCACCUUUACUAUAGUUUAACAUUGAUUCCGGGUAAGUGAUGUGUAGGAUAGGUGGGAGGCUUUGAAGCAGUGGCGCCAGCCAUUGUGGAGCCAACGUUGAAAUACCACCCUUUACUUACUUGGAGUCUAACUCCCAACGGAGGACAUUGUUUGAUGGGUAGUUUGACUGGGGUGGUCGCCUCCGAAAGGGUAUCGGAGGCUUUCAAAGGUUCGCUCAGUACGCUUGGUAACCGUACGUAGAGUGCAUUAGCAUAAGCGAGCUUGACUGUAAGGCCGACAAGCCGAACAGGUGCGAAAGCAGGAUAAAGUGAUCCGGUGGUUCCGUAUGGAAGGGCCAUCGCUCAUAGGAUAAAAGGUACGCUGGGAUAACAGGCUGAUCCCUCCCAAGAGCUCACAUCGACGGGGGGGUUUGGCACCUCGAUGUCGGCUCGUCACAUCCUGGGGCUGGAGAAGGUCCCAAGGGUUCGGCUGUUCGCCGAUUAAAGUGGC